GUCACCAAGGCAGCUGACCUAAACUGAACAAAAGGACAUCAUACCAUAUGAUGUCACAAUCAGCUUGGCAGGGGGAAGGAGAGGGGGAAGGAGGCCUCUCAUUUUAAAGAUAUCUGUUCUCCCAAACAACUGCUACAUGUCUUGAGGCUCUGCUUCCCAGAGGAAGAGGAUAAUAUUUGAAAUACUCUCUUGGAAUCAUUUCACCUGAUCACUCCAAAGUAUAUCAGACUAGCAGAUGGCAAGAGCCAUCAUAAAUGACUACAAAUCUAUUCUUUGCACUUUUAUGAUUCCAAGAACAUACUAUUUAUUCUGAUGAAUAAGAGGAGAAUAAAGUAGAGAGCUCUAGAAUAAAGUAGAGAGCUGGGGUAACUCCACAGAAAUCACUAAAGCUACAUGAAUGUUAUACUUGCAUGAGG
Molecule: non-coding RNA, 416 nt
Organism: Anas platyrhynchos (mallard)
Lineage: Eukaryota; Metazoa; Chordata; Aves; Anseriformes; Anatidae
Source: RefSeq, a predicted model, not a curated record